RNAcentral lists this ribosomal RNA (253 nucleotides) under uncultured bacterium. Its description in RNAcentral is "partial 16S ribosomal RNA". It matches the Rfam family "Bacterial small subunit ribosomal RNA", at positions 524 to 776 of the family's 1533-position model. The record is from RNAcentral.
UACGGGAGGGGUAAGCGUUGUUCGGAAUUACUGGGCGUAAAGCGCAUGUAGGCGGCCAAGCAGGUCGGAUGUGAAAGCCCUCGGCUCAACCAAGGAAGUGCAUUCGAAACCGCAUGGCUCGAGUCCCGGAGAGGAUGGUGGAAUUCUCGGUGUAGAGGUGAAAUUCGUAGAUAUCGAGAGGAACACCGGCGGCGAAGGCGGCCAUCUGGACGAGGACUGACGCUGAGAUGCGAAAGCGUGGGGAGCAAACAGG